Molecule: long non-coding RNA, 887 nt
Filed under: Sorghum bicolor (sorghum)
Lineage: Eukaryota; Viridiplantae; Streptophyta; Magnoliopsida; Poales; Poaceae
Description: long non-coding RNA (SBIC_LNC007332)
Source: RNAcentral
GGUGCCGUGAAUAUUUUCUUUUUACCUGUUCAGACAAUGCUCGCCCACUCUUUUUUUUUGUUCGAAUGAGCCUUUGGCUUACUGCGCGCCAGAUAAGUCAAUAACGAACCUUUGGCUUACUCUUUUUUUUUCAUGAGCCUUUGGCUUACUGCGCGCCAGAUAAGUCAAUAACGAACCUUUGGCUUACUCUUUUUUUUUCAUGAGCCUUUGGCUUACUUCAUCUUGUCUGAUUGUCUAUAAUGAGGCUUUCGCUCACGUUUUAGAUAUGGGUAGGUUGGUAUGUAAGUUCACUUGGUGGAUUUCAUUUUCUGAAAAAAAAUGAAAUAUGAUAUAAAAAAAUGCUGUAACUUCAGAAUAUGAUGCUCCGAAGUUAAGCAAACUCAAAAUAUGUGCUAUGCUUGACUAGUUCGGUGCAAGUUCAGAUAUGGAGUACACUAGACCAAACUAUGAAUUAUCUCUUCCUUGAUGUGGAAAAUAGAUGCUAACGCUAAUAAAAGGAAGGGUAUAGUUAAUGGAAAUUUUUGCCAGCCCCGUGUUAGCUCAAACCGUUUCCAACCAGCCUAGUUCGCAUUAGGGACUGUUUGAUAUGCAUUAGGAUCGAGUGGUGAUGUGAGUUUGAGUGAAAGACUUUUAAAAUAUUUUGUGAAAUGCUAACUUGGAAUUAAAGGUGGUGGUCAUAGUACGGGGGUUACCGUGUCACGAGGCUCACAGAAGAGGAGACGUUAAAAAUUAGGGCCUUGUUUAGUUCGCAAAAAUUUUCAAGAUUAUCCGUCACAUUGAAUCUUUGGUCGUAUACAUAAAGCAUUAAACAUAGACGAAAAUAAAAACUAAUUACACAGUUUACCUGUAAUUUGUGAGAUAAAUCUUUUGAGCCAAGUUACUCCGUG